Molecule: ribosomal RNA, 921 nt
Filed under: Orientzomus sp. 841.1
Lineage: Eukaryota; Metazoa; Arthropoda; Arachnida; Schizomida; Hubbardiidae
Also listed under: 4 other names
Description: SSU rRNA
Rfam family: Eukaryotic small subunit ribosomal RNA
Source: RNAcentral
UCAUAUGCUUGUCUCAAAGAUUAAGCCAUGCAUGUCUAAGUACGUGCCUAAGAAAGGUGAAACCGCGAAUGGCUCAUUAAAUCAGUUAUGGUUCCUUAGAUCGUACCUUACUACUUGGAUAACUGUGGUAAUUCUAGAGCUAAUACAUGCAGCAGAGCUCCGACCUUCGGGGACGAGCGCUUUUAUUAGACCAAGACCAAUCGGACUUCGGUCCGAAGCUCAUGGUGACUCUGGAUAACUUUGGGCUGAUCGCACGGUCUCGUACCGGCGACGCAUCUUUCAAGUGUCUGCCUUAUCAACUUUCGAUGGUAGGUUAUGCGCCUACCAUGGUCGUAACGGGUAACGGGGAAUCAGGGUUCGAUUCCGGAGAGGGAGCCUGAGAAACGGCUACCACAUCCAAGGAAGGCAGCAGGCGCGCAAAUUACCCACUCCCGGCACGGGGAGGUAGUGACGAAAAAUAACAAUACGGGACUCUAUUGAGGCCCCGUAAUUGGAAUGAGUACACUCUAAAUCCUUUAACGAGGAUCUAUUGGAGGGCAAGUCUGGUGCCAGCAGCCGCGGUAAUUCCAGCUCCAAUAGCGUAUAUUAAAGUUGUUGCGGUUAAAAAGCUCGUAGUUGGAUCUCAGUUCCAGACGGGUGGUCCACCUUUGGUGGUUACUGCCUGGCCUGAACAAAUCCAGCCGGUUUUCCUUGAUGCUCUUCACCGAGUGUCUUGGGUGACCGGCACGUUUACUUUGAAAAAAUUAGAGUGCUCAAAGCAGGCGUGACGCCUGAAUAAUGGUGCAUGGAAUAAUGGAAUAGGACCUCGGUUCUAUUUUGUUGGUUUUCGGAACACGAGGUAAUGAUUAAGAGGGACAGACGGGGGCAUUCGUAUUGCGACGCUAGAGGUGAAAUUCUUGGACCGUCGCAAGACGAACUACU